CAAGGAGUAGUUUAAUUAGAAUGUCAGCUUUGGGAGUUGAUGGUGGGGUUGGUAUAGUGCUUCCUCCUUGA
This 71-nucleotide transfer RNA is filed under the name Dasypus kappleri (great long-nosed armadillo). RNAcentral's name for it is "tRNA-Pro". Lineage: Eukaryota; Metazoa; Chordata; Mammalia; Cingulata; Dasypodidae. The record is from RNAcentral.